AGAGUUUGAUCCUGGCUCAGAACGAACGCUGGCGGCAGGCUUAACACAUGCAAGUCGAACGAUGUAGCAAUACAUAGUGGCGCACGGGUGAGUAACGCGUGGGAAUAUACCUUAUAGUGGGGAAUAACUUUGGGAAACUAAAGCUAAUACCGCAUACGCCCGAGAGGGGAAAGAUUUAUCGCUAUAAGAUUAGCCCGCGUGAGAUUAGGUAGUUGGUGGGGUAAUGGCCUACCAAGCCUACGAUCUCUAGCUGGUCUGAGAGGAUGAUCAGCCACACUGGAACUGAGACACGGUCCAGACUCCUACGGGAGGCAGCAGUGGGGAAUAUUGGGCAAUGGACGAAAGUCUGACCCAGCCAUGCCGCGUGAAUGAUGAAGGCCUUAGGGUUGUAAAGUUCUUUCGCCGAUGAAGAUAAUGACGGUAGUCGGAGAAGAAGCCCCGGCUAACUUCGUGCCAGCAGCCGCGGUAAUACGAAGGGGGCUAGCGUUGUUCGGAAUUACUGGGCGUAAAGCGAGCGUAGGUUGCUCGAUAAGUCAGUGGUGAAAGCCCAGAGCUCAACUCUGGAACUGCCAUUGAAACUGUCGAGCUGGAAUCUCAGAGGGGGUAGCGGAAUUCCAAAUGUAGGGGUGAAAUCCGUAGAUAUUUGGAGGAACACCGGUGGCGAAGGCGGCUACCUGGAUGAGUAUUGACACUGAGGCUCGAAAGCGUGGGGAUCAAACAGGAUUAGAUACCCUGGUAGUCCAA
Molecule: ribosomal RNA, 744 nt
Filed under: uncultured bacterium
Lineage: Bacteria
Description: bacterial SSU rRNA
Rfam family: Bacterial small subunit ribosomal RNA
Source: RNAcentral